AGAGUUUGAUCCUGGCUCAGGAUGAACUCUAGCUACAGGCUUAACACAUGCAAGUCGAGGGGCAUCAUGGAGUUUGCUUGCAAACUCUGAUGGCGACCGGCGCACGGGUGAGUAACGCGUAUCCAACCUUCCCUAUAGUAGAGGAUAGCCCGGCGAAAGUCGGAUUAAUACUCUAUGUUUUCCGUUGCAGACAUCUAAGAUGGAACAAAGGCUUGCCGCUAUAGGAUGGGGAUGCGUCUGAUUAGGUAGUCGGCGGGGUAACGGCCCACCGAGCCAUCGAUCAGUAGGGGUUCUGAGAGGAAGGUCCCCCACAUUGGAACUGAGACACGGUCCAAACUCCUACGGGAGGCAGCAGUGAGGAAUAUUGGUCAAUGGGCGAGAGCUUGAACCAGCCAAGUAGCGUGCAGGACGACGGCCCUAUGGGUUGUAAACUGCUUUUAUGCGGGGAUAAAGUUCACUACGUGUAGUGUUUUGUAGGUACCGCAUGAAUAAGGACCGGCUAAUUCCGUGCCAGCAGCCGCGGUAAUACGGAAGGUCCGGGCGUUAUCCGGAUUUAUUGGGUUUAAAGGGAGCGCAGGCCGGAGGUCAAGCGUGACGUGAAAUGUAGCCGCUCAACGGCUGAACUGCGUCGCGAACUGGCUUUCUUGAGUGAGUUCGAUGUGGGCGGAAUUCGUGGUGUAGCGGUGAAAUGCUUAGAUAUGGCGAAGAACUCCGAUUGCGAAGGCAGCCCACAAGGCCUUUACUGACGCUAAAGCUCGAAGGUGCGGGUAUCGAACAGGAUUAGAUACCCUGGUAGUCCGCACGGUAAACGAUGGAUGCCCGCUGGUUGCCAUAUACUGUGAGCGGCCAAGAGAAA
This 856-nucleotide ribosomal RNA is filed under the name uncultured bacterium. RNAcentral's name for it is "bacterial SSU rRNA". It matches the Rfam family "Bacterial small subunit ribosomal RNA", at positions 8 to 856 of the family's 1533-position model. The record is from RNAcentral.